CUGACCCUCCCUGUAGUGCACAGUUCCUUACCAGCCCUCCCUCCUUCACUGACACCUCAUGGCAGUUUUGCAGGGUUAGGUUGCUUUCAUUUUUCAGUAUCCCUCUUUCCUUUUAAAAGCAGGGAGUUCUGGGAGCCUAUGAGAGCUCAGAAUGUCAUUACCUAUGGAAAACAGCCCAUCCUCUGUACCCAGGGUACCUGGCAGGAGGCACUCCUGGGUUGCUGGUUGCUGCUGGUGUUUGCACUCCAGGGAUACUGUUGGAAGGAAAGUGUGUGGGUAAAAAUACUGUUAUGUGGCUUAGAACUUAGACACUAUUGGUGGGUCUCCCGAGAGGUUAUGUCUGUGUGAGCAGCUGGGAAACAAAUGCAUCAUCCCCACACACACAUGCACACUUACCAGCUCCUCCAGGUGCUCGGUGACAUCAGAUUCCUGCACUCUGCAGCAGGACAGGGAUGCAGGCGGCAGCAGGGGUGCGUGGCUGCCCUGAAUCCCAGCGUUUCCCUUAGCACUCUUAGGAUUGGAACUUCAUUUGUUGUUUUCAACUCAAUAAGAGACAGACGCGAGCUGAGCUGAUGCCUCAGACCAGCAGCCUACUUUGUGCUCUUUACCCAAGCCCACGUGCUGCACAGGCAGCUGCCAAGCAGUGCAGCUGCCAGCUCGGGUGUGAACACUUGCACCUUGUUCCACGUGGAUGCUGCGUUGUAUCUUGUGUAACAAACACACCUACAGAGGAAUUCUCUUGGAGUAUUCUUCCUGUAAUGAUGGGCUUUGUCCUGUGAUGACUGCCCUUAGAUUAAAGAAGUACAGAUAAUAAGACUAUAAGAAUAUUAUGGGUAUUUGCUUGGCUGGUACUGAAGUAUUCUUUUAGUUCAGUAGCGCCUCCUCUCACAGUUCUUGGAAGUAUAUGUACAAUUUUGCAGAAGCAUUAUGAUGUAAUUUAAUUCAAGUGGUUUAAGCACUGAAAUCUAAUUAAAUUAUUUACAUGAAA
Long non-coding RNA from Pezoporus occidentalis (night parrot), 988 nucleotides. RefSeq lists it as uncharacterized. The record is from RefSeq and is a predicted model, not a curated record. The transcript is spliced from 2 exons. Lineage: Eukaryota; Metazoa; Chordata; Aves; Psittaciformes; Psittacidae.